UCUUCAAUAAAUAUACUAUGUUCAUUAUUUACACACUAUUUAAUGUCAAAAAGCAUUAAAGUUUCUUCUACCACGUUGGAUGUUUCUGAUCUCAGAGAUAUGGAGUAGGCAUAAACAACUCUUCCUUGUCUACUCCUAAAAAUUCCCCCUCUUCCACAUAUACCGAGUAAAGGACUUUCAUUAGUGUUAAACAUAACAAGAUGGAGGGGAUGGUUUAUUCCAUUUGAUAGCUCCCAAAAUUCUUUGCUCAAUGUCUGCUUCACAUACUCUACAACAUUCUUCUCCCAGCUUAGCUCUUUCAAAUUUGUUUUUUAGCCCCUGCACAAGAAUAUUUAGAAUAUCAGUUUUAGUUUUAUAAAAAGAUAUCCACAAGUUUUCAAACUUUCUAUUGCAUCUUAACUUCCAUAGCUCCCACAUUAUGAUUAGAGGGAGUAUUCUAAUUAUAAAGUUGGCAAGAAUGUUUUCCACCAAUUGAGUAGCAUCAUCUUGUAGCUUCUGUUGGUGUGAUCAAUUUCCAGAGAUCUUGGGAAAAAAAAAUCCAAGCAAUAGAAAUAUAACGGAACGACAAGUUUAUUCAAUCUUGUGAAACAAGUUACAUCGAUGACAAAAUGAAAUAUGCAAUUAACAAAAGUAACAUAGGUAAGUCUUCCUCUAUGCAUAUGAAAAUAACAAUACAUUCAAUGAACAUUGAAAAAGAAAAAAAUUCGGAUUUCACUAUUUUUUAUUUCAAGCAGUGAAAAAUAUUUUCAAUAAUGUAAAUUUUUUAUAAAUGUAAUUUUUUGAGUCAUGUAAAUAUGAGUGUUAUUGGAGGGUGGGGGGCAUAAUCACAUUUAUCAUUAUCCAAAAAAUGACUUUCUUCGGUCCAUAAGAAAGUCAUUUUGCUCGAAUAGAGGAAAAUGAGUUAUCUUAGAAAAUAUUUUUUCAAUAUUUUACUACAACCAACAAAAAAAAACAAAAGAAAAAUAUUUUACAUCGUACCAAACACAACCAAAAUGUUCAACUUCAUUGAACACAAGUAAAUUUUUUAAAAAUCUCUCGAAUGAGUAAGUUCUAGCUGGAAAAAUAAUCAAAACACAAUCGAUAAAACUGAGACCCAAAUCCACUUAAAAAAGGCAAAAAGAAAAAAAAAUAACCCCCAAAGUACUUGCCUAUAGUCAGCAACUCACACUAUACACCAGCACACAAUUUCCAAAUCUUGCAAUGGAUCCGCUCACACUCCUCCGGGAGUACACAAUCCGCAACGAGCUCCACAACAUCAUCCGCGUCGGCGACGACUACCGUUUCGGCAAC
RNAcentral lists this long non-coding RNA (1290 nucleotides) under Capsicum annuum. RNAcentral describes it as "long non-coding RNA (CANN_LNC009778)". The record is from RNAcentral. Lineage: Eukaryota; Viridiplantae; Streptophyta; Magnoliopsida; Solanales; Solanaceae.